GUAAUGUAAUAAAAGUGGAACAUAAAUGGCUACAAAGAAAUCACAUUUAGUUUCUCUUAUUUUUUCUGUGCUUCUUCUGCUUUUAUGUAUCUCCUCUCAAGUUGGAUUUACAGAGGCCAGACGCUACCAACGUAUAAUAAAGUCACCACCUCCUCCUACCCCUCGUUUUUAUGUACCUCCUUCGAAAUCGCGCAGAGGACACGGCCCAUGAACAAAGUGCAUAGAUCAUAUAUAUGGUUUUAUACAUGUAUGUGAGCUUUGUGUUUUCAGAAAAAAAAAUAUCUAUGUAUUUGUGUUCCAGUUUGAUGAUCAUAAUUUUCAAUAAAUAAGUCGUUGGUGUUUUCAUUGUCUUAUAUGAAACAAAAUAAAAUGUGAAUGCGGUUUUCUCAUA
Molecule: long non-coding RNA, 391 nt
Organism: Camelina sativa (false flax)
Lineage: Eukaryota; Viridiplantae; Streptophyta; Magnoliopsida; Brassicales; Brassicaceae
Source: RefSeq, a predicted model, not a curated record